This 373-nucleotide ribosomal RNA is filed under the name uncultured Anaerolineaceae bacterium. Its description in RNAcentral is "bacterial SSU rRNA". It matches the Rfam family "Bacterial small subunit ribosomal RNA", at positions 986 to 1378 of the family's 1533-position model. Lineage: Bacteria; Bacillati; Chloroflexota; Anaerolineae; Anaerolineales; Anaerolineaceae. The record is from RNAcentral.
GUGGUAGGAAGCCGAAGGUGACGACCUUCGGGAGCUUGCACAGGUGCUGCAUGGCUGUCGUCAGCUCGUGCCGUGAGAUGUUCGGUAAGUCCGCUAACGAGCGCAACCCGCGUUGUGUGUUACAAGUGUCACACAAUACCGCCGGUAUUAAGUCGGAGGAAGGUGCGGAUGACGUCAAGUCAGCAUGACCUUUAUAUCCAGGGCUACACACACGCUACAAUGGUCGGCACAAUAGGUUGCCAAGUCGUGAGACGGAGCCAAUCCUCCAAAGCCGGCCUCAGUUCAGAUUGCAGGCUGCAACUCGCCUGCAUGAAGUUGGAGUUGCUAGUAAACGCAGGUCAGCUAUACUGCGUUGAAUACGUUCCCGGGGAUU